This 253-nucleotide ribosomal RNA is filed under the name uncultured bacterium. RNAcentral's name for it is "partial 16S ribosomal RNA". It matches the Rfam family "Bacterial small subunit ribosomal RNA", at positions 524 to 776 of the family's 1533-position model. The record is from RNAcentral.
UACGUAGGGGGCAAGCGUUGUCCGGAAUUAUUGGGCGUAAAGAGCGCGUAGGCGGUCCGAUAAGUCGGCUGUGAAAGUCAGGGGCUCAACCCUUGAAAGCCGGCCGAUACUGUCGGACUAGAGUCCGGAAGAGGCAAGUGGAAUUCCCGGUGUAGCGGUGAAAUGCGCAGAUAUGUGGAGGAACACCGAUGGCGAAGGCAGCCUCCUGGGCCAGCACUGACGCUCAUGCACGAAAGCGUGGGGAGCAAACAGG